Paramisgurnus dabryanus is the source of this 952-nucleotide long non-coding RNA. RefSeq lists it as uncharacterized. The record is from RefSeq and is a predicted model, not a curated record. NCBI's taxonomy places the organism in Eukaryota, Metazoa, Chordata, Actinopteri, Cypriniformes, Cobitidae.
AACUUAAAGCCGAUAUUUUCUAUCGAACUAGUCUAUUUUCUGUUCAGACACAAAGUUUUCUGAUGCUGAUAUUAUGUCAGUGUGUGUUUGUGUGGGGGUCGUGUGAUGUAAUCUUUGAAAGUUUAUGACCGAACUUUUAUUGGGGAGCGACAAGAGAUCUCCCGGACUCAGGAUGGAUGGAGCAGAACUGUUAUACUCAAGUCUAUCGCGAAAUUGUCUAAACUGGUAUUAACUAUUCCGGGUAAAUCGCGGAGAAGAGUGGAAUGAACAAAAAAGGCAGACCGAGACUAGAACCACCAGCAGCGUAACACGGAAAUCUUGGAACAAAGAGACACCGAGUGGUUCGUGUUGUCCGGUUUGGAUAUCAGCGGUAAAGCGAACGUUGUGUGUACUAUUGCAAAAUAUAUAUAGCGGAUCUCCACGGUUAGGAUACAGACCACAACGCUUUGGACGUAUCUUUAAAAAAAGAGAAAAAUCAGAGACUUUUUGGAUUUGUCUGGGGGACAUUUUAAACAUUUUGUGACAAAUUGGAUUUAAAACAUUUCGGAUAUUGGAUACCUAGUUUGAUAUGUCCACAGAGAUUGUUUAAGACGUUUUCACCUCAUUUUAGGGUUUAUUUUUAAUUAAAGGCUUCUUAAAACAUGUAUGAAAAUGUGUAUAUUAUACAAUGAGACUUAUAUUGUCUGCUCUGACAAAAAUAAACUAUUAUUUAGAUUUAGGUCAAUUGACUGCGUGUAUCUUAUAAAUACAACUUGAUAAUACGUUUGUUUUGUCAAGAGACUUUUUUUAAAGUCACGCAAGAAUAAAAUCUUUUAGUUGUAAUGGUAAACAUUAAAUAUACUAUUAUCUAUUUAACUAUAAGGUAUAUUUUUCUGAUCAACCUCAAAGUUUUUGAUGUUGAGCUUAUGACCGUGUGUGAUAGAUAUUUCACAGCAGGGUCGGUUUGUAAUGU